RNAcentral lists this ribosomal RNA (497 nucleotides) under uncultured bacterium. Its description in RNAcentral is "partial 16S ribosomal RNA". It matches the Rfam family "Bacterial small subunit ribosomal RNA", at positions 28 to 507 of the family's 1533-position model. The record is from RNAcentral.
GAUGAACGCUGGCGGCGUGCCUAAUACAUGCAAGUCGAGCGAACAGACGAGGAGCUUGCUCCUCUGACGUUAGCGGCGGACGGGUGAGUAACACGUGGAUAACCUACCUAUAAGACUGGGAUAACUUCGGGAAACCGGAGCUAAUACCGGAUAAUAUAUUGAACCGCAUGGUUCAAUAGUGAAAGACGGUUUUGCUGUCACUUAUAGAUGGAUCCGCGCCGCAUUAGCUAGUUGGUAAGGUAACGGCUUACCAAGGCGACGAUGCGUAGCCGACCUGAGAGGGUGAUAGGCCACACGGGAACUGAGACACGGUCCAGACUCCUACGGGAGGCAGCAGUAGGGAAUCUUCCGCAAUGGGCGAAAGCCUGACGGAGCAACGCCGCGUGAGUGAUGAAGGUCUUCGGAGCGUAAAACUCUGUUAUUAGGGAAGAACAAAUGUGUAAGUAACUAUGCACGUCUUGACGGUACCUAAUCAGAAAGCCACGGCUAACUACGUG